AGUGAACGCUGGCGGUAGGCCUAACACAUGCAAGUCGAACGGCAGCACAGUAAGAGCUCGCUCUUACGGGUGGCGAGUGGCGGGCGGGUGAGGAAUACAUCGGAAUCUACUUUUUCGUGGGGGAUAACGUAGGGAAACUUACGCUAAUACCGCAUACGACGUACGGGUGAAAGCAGGGGAUCUUCGGCCCUUGCGCGAUUCAAUGAGCCGAUGUCGGAUUAGCUAGUUGGAGGGGUAAAGGCCCACCAAGGCGACGAUCCGUAGCUGGUCUGAGAGGAUGAUCAGCCACACUGGAACUGAGACACGGUCCAGACUCCUACGGGAGGCAGCAGUGGGGAAUAUUGGACAAUGGGCGCAAGCCUGAUCCAGCCAUACCGCGUGGGUGAAGAAGGCCUUCGGGUUGUAAAGCCCUUUUGUUGGGAAAGAAAAGCAGCAGGUUAAUACCCCGCUGUUCUGACGGUACCCAAAGAAUAAGCACCGGCUAACUUCGUG
RNAcentral lists this ribosomal RNA (492 nucleotides) under uncultured bacterium. Its description in RNAcentral is "partial 16S ribosomal RNA". It matches the Rfam family "Bacterial small subunit ribosomal RNA", at positions 29 to 507 of the family's 1533-position model. The record is from RNAcentral.